GAUGAACGCUGGCGGCGUGCCUAAUACAUGCAAGUCGAGCGAACAGACGAGGAGCUUGCUCCUCUGACGUUAGCGGCGGACGGGUGAGUAACACGUGGAUAACCUACCUAUAAGACUGGGAUAACUUCAGGAAACCGGAGCUAAUACCGGAUAAUAUAUUGAACCGCAUGGUUCAAUAGUGAAAGACGGUUUUGCUGUCACUUAUAGAUGGAUCCGCGCCGCAUUAGCUAGUUGGUAAGGUAACGGCUUACCAAGGCAACGAUGCGUAGCCGACCUGAGAGGGUGAUCGGCCACACUGGAACUGAGACACGGCCCAGACUCCUACGGGAGGCAGCAGUAGGGAAUCUUCCGCAAUGGGCGAAAGCUUGACGGAGCAACGCCGCGUGAGUGAUGAAGGUCUUCGGAUCGUAAAACUCUGUUAUUAGGGAAGAACAAAUGUGUAAGUAACUAUGCACGUCUUGACGGUACCUAAUCAGAAAGCCACGGCUAACUACGUG
RNAcentral lists this ribosomal RNA (497 nucleotides) under uncultured bacterium. RNAcentral's name for it is "partial 16S ribosomal RNA". It matches the Rfam family "Bacterial small subunit ribosomal RNA", at positions 28 to 507 of the family's 1533-position model. The record is from RNAcentral.